GCUGGCUGCAACUGUUUAUUAAAAACACAGCACUGUGCAAACACGAAAGUGGACGUAUACGGUGUGACGCCUGCCCGGUGCCGGAAGGUUAAUUGAUGGGGUUAUCCGUAAGGAGAAGCUCUUGAUCGAAGCCCCGGUAAACGGCGGCCGUAACUAUAACGGUCCUAAGGUAGCGAAAUUCCUUGUCGGGUAAGUUCCGACCUGCACGAAUGGCGUAAUGAUGGCCAGGCUGUCUCCACCCGAGACUCAGUGAAAUUGAACUCGCUGUGAAGAUGCAGUGUACCCGCGGCAAGACGGAAAGACCCCGUGAACCUUUACUAUAGCUUGACACUGAACAUUGAGCCUUGAUGUGUAGGAUAGGUGGGAGGCUUUGAAGCGUGGACGCCAGUCUGCGUGGAGCCAACCUUGAAAUACCACCCUUUAAUGUUUGAUGUUCUAACGUUGGCCCCUUACCGGGGUUGCGGACAGUGUCUGGUGGGUAGUUUGACUGGGGCGGUCUCCUCCCAAAGCGUAACGGAGGAGCACGAAGGUUAGCUAAUCCUGGUCGGACAUCAGGAGGUUAGUGCAAUGGCAUAAGCUAGCUUGACUGCGAGCGUGACGGCGCGAGCAGGUGCGAAAGCAGGUCAUAGUGAUCCGGUGGUUCUGAAUGGAAGGGCCAUCGCUCAACGGAUAAAAGGUACUCCGGGGAUAACAGGCUGAUACCGCCCAAGAGUUCAUAUCGACGGCGGUGUUUGGCACCUCGAUGUCGGCUCAUCACAUCCUGGGGCUGAAGUAGGUCCCAAGGGUAUGGCUGUUCGCCAUUUAAAGUGGUACGCGAGCUGGGUUUAGAACGUCGUGAGACAGUUCGGUCCCUAUCUGCCGUGGGCGCUGGAGAAUUGAGGGGGGCUGCUCCUAGUACGAGAGGACCGGAGUGGACGCAUCACUGGUGUUCGGGUUGUCAUGCCAAUGGCACUGCCCGGUAGCUAAAUGCGGAAGAGAUAAGUGCUGAAAGCAUCUAAGCACGAAACUUGCCCCGAGAUGAGUUCUCCCUGAGACUUUAAGUCUCCUGAAGGAACGUUAAAGACGAUGACGUUGAUAGGCCGGGUGUGUAAGCGCAGCGAUGCGUUGAGCUAACCGGUACUAAUGAACCGUGAGGCUUAACCUUACAACGCCGAAG
RNAcentral lists this ribosomal RNA (1156 nucleotides) under Klebsiella pneumoniae. RNAcentral's name for it is "bacterial LSU rRNA". It matches the Rfam family "Bacterial large subunit ribosomal RNA", at positions 1789 to 2925 of the family's 2925-position model. The record is from RNAcentral. Lineage: Bacteria; Pseudomonadati; Pseudomonadota; Gammaproteobacteria; Enterobacterales; Enterobacteriaceae.